GGUUCCAGUUGAUUUUUUUACAGUUUGAUAGAAACAACCCUGUACGACAUAAUUGAGACGACAUGGAGAAAUGUACUAAAGAAAACACAAUGCUUUUAUGUUGUUCGGUCGUCAGAUAUAUGUCCACUGACGGAUAGAACUUUGAUUCUGAAAACUAAGAUCUAGGAUAGAAAUUGCAGACUCUAAUCACCAUCAGUAUUGGAGGCCAGGUGCACUACAGCUCCUGCUAUGUGCAGAGUCCAAAGGGCAAGACCGCAAGGGUCUAG
RNAcentral lists this unclassified non-coding RNA (266 nucleotides) under Hevea brasiliensis (rubber tree). Lineage: Eukaryota; Viridiplantae; Streptophyta; Magnoliopsida; Malpighiales; Euphorbiaceae. The record is from RNAcentral.